GCGGGCUUAGUCUAGUGGUUAUGAUGUCUGCUUUACAGUGUCAACUGUCAAGCGCAGAAGGUCGGGAGUUCGAUCCUCCCAGCCCGUA
Non-coding RNA from Lizonia empirigonia, 88 nucleotides. The record is from the annotation of a GenBank genome assembly. NCBI's taxonomy places the organism in Eukaryota, Fungi, Ascomycota, Dothideomycetes, Pseudoperisporiaceae.